RNAcentral lists this ribosomal RNA (430 nucleotides) under uncultured Dietziaceae bacterium. Its description in RNAcentral is "bacterial SSU rRNA". It matches the Rfam family "Bacterial small subunit ribosomal RNA", at positions 354 to 796 of the family's 1533-position model. Lineage: Bacteria; Bacillati; Actinomycetota; Actinomycetes; Mycobacteriales; Dietziaceae. The record is from RNAcentral.
GUGGGGAAUAUUGCACAAUGGGCGAAAGCCUGAUGCAGCGACGCCGCGUGGGGGAUGACGGUCUUCGGAUUGUAAACCCCUUUCAGUAGGGACGAAGCGCAAGUGACGGUACCUGCAGAAGAAGCACCGGCCAACUACGUGCCAGCAGCCGCGGUAAUACGUAGGGUGCAAGCGUUGUCCGGAAUUACUGGGCGUAAAGAGCUCGUAGGCGGUUUGUCACGUCGUCUGUGAAAUCCUCCAGCUUAACUGGGGGCGUGCAGGCGAUACGGGCAGACUUGAGUACUACAGGGGAGACUGGAAUUCCUGGUGUAGCGGUGAAAUGCGCAGAUAUCAGGAGGAACACCGGUGGCGAAGGCGGGUCUCUGGGUAGUAACUGACGCUGAGGAGCGAAAGCAUGGGUAGCGAACAGGAUUAGAAACCCUUGUAGUCC